Molecule: non-coding RNA, 102 nt
Organism: Paramuricea clavata
Lineage: Eukaryota; Metazoa; Cnidaria; Anthozoa; Malacalcyonacea; Plexauridae
Source: the annotation of a GenBank genome assembly
AUGAUUUUUUCUGUGUUGGUGUAAUGUACUCAGAGUAACAUUACAAGCAUCAUUUCACCUGAGUACAUUAAACCAACACAGAAAAAAUCAUGAUUAUUAUUA